RNAcentral lists this ribosomal RNA (497 nucleotides) under uncultured bacterium. Its description in RNAcentral is "partial 16S ribosomal RNA". It matches the Rfam family "Bacterial small subunit ribosomal RNA", at positions 28 to 507 of the family's 1533-position model. The record is from RNAcentral.
GAUGAACGCUGGCGGCGUGCCUAAUACAUGCAAGUCGAGCGAACAGACGAGGAGCUUGCUCCUCUGACGUUAGAGGCGGACGGGUGAGUAACACGUGGAUAACCUACCUCUAAGACUGGGAUAACUUCGGGAAACAGGAGCUACUACCGGAUGAUAUAUUGCACCGCAAGGUUCCAUAGUGAAAGUCGGUUUUGGUGUCGCUUAUAGCUGGCUCCGCUCCUCAUUCGUUAGUUGGUAAAGUGACGGCUUAACCACGCAAGGAUGCGUAGCCGACCUGAGAGCGACAUCGCCCACACGGUAACUGAGACACGGCCCAGACUCUUACGGUAGGACGCGGUAGGGAAUCUUCCGCAAGGGGCGAAUGGCGGACGGAGCAACGCCGCGUGAGUGAUGAAGGUCUUCGGAUCGGAAAGCUCUGUUAUUAGGGAAGAACUAAUGUGUAAGUAACUAUGCACGUCUUGACGGUACCGAAUCAGAAAGCCACGGCUAACUACGUG